This 446-nucleotide ribosomal RNA is filed under the name uncultured eukaryote. RNAcentral describes it as "SSU rRNA". It matches the Rfam family "Eukaryotic small subunit ribosomal RNA", at positions 104 to 549 of the family's 1831-position model. The record is from RNAcentral.
AAUCACACCUAAUGUACUGGAUAGUUACAGUUACUUGGAUAACUGCGGUAAUUCUGGAGCUAAUACAUGCAAAACAGCCCCAACUCACGGAGGGGUGCUUUUAUUAGACUAAAACCAAACGGCUUCGGUCGUCCCAUUGGUGAAUCUGAAUAACUUUGAGCGGAUCGCAUGGCUUCACGCCGGCGACGUAUCCUUCCAAGGUGUGACCUAUCAACUGUCGACUGUGGCAUAGACGCCCACAGUGGUUUUGACGGGUAACGGGGAAUUAGGGUUCGAUUCCGGAGAGGGAGCCUGAGAAACGGCUACCACUUCUAAGGAAGGCAGCAGGCACGCAAAUUACCCACUGGCCAAAGGCCGAGGUAGUGACGAAAAAUAACGAUACCAGACUCAUCCGAGGCCUGGUAAUCGGAAUGAGCACACUUUAAAUCCUUUAACGAGGAACCAUU